AUGUAUGUAAUUAUGCCUGUGUGUGUGUUCACACUUGUAUAGUCAAAAUUUCACACACACACACACACACACACACACACACACACACACACACAAAU
RNAcentral lists this microRNA precursor (98 nucleotides) under Tupaia belangeri (northern tree shrew). RNAcentral's name for it is "miRNA (ENSTBEG00000019882.1)". Lineage: Eukaryota; Metazoa; Chordata; Mammalia; Scandentia; Tupaiidae. The record is from RNAcentral.